RNAcentral lists this ribosomal RNA (56 nucleotides) under Heliocybe sulcata. RNAcentral describes it as "partial 28S large subunit ribosomal RNA". RNAcentral also lists the same sequence under 4 other names. Lineage: Eukaryota; Fungi; Basidiomycota; Agaricomycetes; Gloeophyllales; Gloeophyllaceae. The record is from RNAcentral.
GACCUCAAAUCAGGUAGGAUUACCCGCUGAACUUAAGCAUAUCAAUAAGCGGAGGA